CAACUUUCAGCAACGGAUCUCUUGGCUCUCGCAUCGAUGAAGAACGCAGCUGAAUUGCAGAAUUCAGUGAAUCAUCGAAUCUUUGAACGCACCUUGCGCUCCUUGGUAUUCCGAGGAGCAUGCCUGUUUGAGUGUCAUGA
Molecule: ribosomal RNA, 140 nt
Filed under: Ganoderma lucidum
Lineage: Eukaryota; Fungi; Basidiomycota; Agaricomycetes; Polyporales; Polyporaceae
Description: 5.8S ribosomal RNA
Rfam family: 5.8S ribosomal RNA
About the family: 5.8S ribosomal RNA (5.8S rRNA) is a component of the large subunit of the eukaryotic ribosome. It is transcribed by RNA polymerase I as part of the 45S precursor that also contains 18S and 28S rRNA.
Source: RNAcentral